GGGUUGUGAGGUUAAGCGACUAAGCGUACACGGUGGAUGCCCUGGCAGUCAGAGGCGAUGAAGGACGUGCUAAUCUGCGAAAAGCGUCGGUAAGGUGAUAUGAACCGUUAUAACCGGCGAUGUCCGAAUGGGGAAACCCAGUGUGAUUCGUCACACUAUCGUUAACUGAAUACAUAGGUUAACGAGGCGAACCGGGGGAACUGAAACAUCUAAGUACCCCGAGGAAAAGAAAUCAACCGAGAUUCCCCCAGUAGCGGCGAGCGAACGGGGAGCAGCCCAGAGUCUGAAUCAGCUUGUGUGUUAGUGGAACGGUCUGGAAAGUCCGACGGUACAGGGUGAUAGUCCCGUACACCAAAAUGCACAGGUUGUGAACUCGAAGAGUAGGGCGGGACACGUGGUAUCCUGUCUGAAUAUGGGGGGACCAUCCUCCAAGGCUAAAUACUCCUGACUGACCGAUAGUGAACCAGUACCGUGAGGGAAAGGCGAAAAGAACCCCGGCGAGGGGAGUGAAAAAGAACCUGAAACCGUGUACGUACAAGCAGUGGGAGCACCUUCGGGUGUGACUGCGUACCUUUUGUAUAAUGGGUCAGCGACUUAUAUUCUGUAGCAAGGUUAACCGUAUAGGGGAGCCGCAGGGAAACCGAGUCUUAACUGGGCGUUAAGUUGCAGGGUAUAGACCCGAAACCCGGUGAUCUAGCCAUGGGCAGGUUGAAGGUUGGGUAACACUAACUGGAGGACCGAACCGACUAAUGUUGAAAAAUUAGCGGAUGACUUGUGGCUGGGGGUGAAAGGCCAAUCAAACCGGGAGAUAGCUGGUUCUCCCCGAAAGCUAUUUAGGUAGCGCCUCGUGAACUCAUCUUCGGGGGUAGAGCACUGUUUCGGCUAGGGGGUCAUCCCGACUUACCAACCCGAUGCAAACUACGAAUACCGAAGAAUGUUAUCACGGGAGACACACGGCGGGUGCUAACGUCCGUCGUGAAGAGGGAAACAACCCAGACCGCCAGCUAAGGUCCCAAAGUCAUGGUUAAGUGGGAAACGAUGUGGGAAGGCACAGACAGCCAGGAUGUUGGCUUAGAAGCAGCCAUCAUUUAAAGAAAGCGUAAUAGCUCACUGGUCGAGUCGGCCUGCGCGGAAGAUGUAACGGGGCUAAACCAUGCACCGAAGCUGCGGCAGCGACACUAUGUGUUGUUGGGUAGGGGAGCGUUCUGUAAGCCUGCGAAGGUGACCUGUGAGGGUUGCUGGAGGUAUCAGAAGUGCGAAUGCUGACAUAAGUAACGAUAAAGCGGGUGAAAAGCCCGCUCGCCGGAAGACCAAGGGUUCCUGUCCAACGUUAAUCGGGGCAGGGUGAGUCGACCCCUAAGGCGAGGCCGAAAGGCGUAGUCGAUGGGAAACAGGUUAAUAUUCCUGUACUUGGUGUUACUGCGAAGGGGGACGGAGAAGGCUAUGUUAGCCGGGCGACGGUUGUCCCGGUUUAAGCAUGUAGGCUGGUUGUCCAGGCAAAUCCGGAUAAUCAAGGCUGAGGUGUGAUGACGAGGCACUACGGUGCUGAAGUAACAAAUGCCCUGCUUCCAGGAAAAGCCUCUAAGCAUCAGGUAACAUCAAAUCGUACCCCAAACCGACACAGGUGGUCAGGUAGAGAAUACCAAGGCGCUUGAGAGAACUCGGGUGAAGGAACUAGGCAAAAUGGUGCCGUAACUUCGGGAGAAGGCACGCUGGUGUGUAGGUGAAGCCCCUGCGGGUGGAGCUGAGACCAGUCGAAGAUACCAGCUGGCUGCAACUGUUUAUUAAAAACACAGCACUGUGCAAACACGAAAGUGGACGUAUACGGUGUGACGCCUGCCCGGUGCCGGAAGGUUAAUUGAUGGGGUUAUCCGUAAGGAGAAGCUCUUGAUCGAAGCCCCGGUAAACGGCGGCCGUAACUAUAACGGUCCUAAGGUAGCGAAAUUCCUUGUCGGGUAAGUUCCGACCUGCACGAAUGGCGUAAUGAUGGCCAGGCUGUCUCCACCCGAGACUCAGUGAAAUUGAACUCGCUGUGAAGAUGCAGUGUACCCGCGGCAAGACGGAAAGACCCCGUGAACCUUUACUAUAGCUUGACACUGAACAUUGAGCCUUGAUGUGUAGGAUAGGUGGGAGGCUUUGAAGCGUGGACGCCAGUCUGCGUGGAGCCAACCUUGAAAUACCACCCUUUAAUGUUUGAUGUUCUAACGUUGGCCCCUGACCGGGGUUGCGGACAGUGUCUGGUGGGUAGUUUGACUGGGGCGGUCUCCUCCCAAAGCGUAACGGAGGAGCACGAAGGUUAGCUAAUCCUGGUCGGACAUCAGGAGGUUAGUGCAAUGGCAUAAGCUAGCUUGACUGCGAGCGUGACGGCGCGAGCAGGUGCGAAAGCAGGUCAUAGUGAUCCGGUGGUUCUGAAUGGAAGGGCCAUCGCUCAACGGAUAAAAGGUACUCCGGGGAUAACAGGCUGAUACCGCCCAAGAGUUCAUAUCGACGGCGGUGUUUGGCACCUCGAUGUCGGCUCAUCACAUCCUGGGGCUGAAGUAGGUCCCAAGGGUAUGGCUGUUCGCCAUUUAAAGUGGUACGCGAGCUGGGUUUAGAACGUCGUGAGACAGUUCGGUCCCUAUCUGCCGUGGGCGCUGGAGAAUUGAGGGGGGCUGCUCCUAGUACGAGAGGACCGGAGUGGACGCAUCACUGGUGUUCGGGUUGUCAUGCCAAUGGCACUGCCCGGUAGCUAAAUGCGGAAGAGAUAAGUGCUGAAAGCAUCUAAGCACGAAACUUGCCCCGAGAUGAGUUCUCCCUGAGACUAUAAGUCUCCUGAAGGAACGUUAAAGACGAUGACGUUGAUAGGCCGGGUGUGUAAGCGCAGCGAUGCGUUGAGCUAACCGGUACUAAUGAACCGUGAGGCUUAACCUUACAACGCCGAAG
RNAcentral lists this ribosomal RNA (2922 nucleotides) under Klebsiella pneumoniae. RNAcentral's name for it is "bacterial LSU rRNA". It matches the Rfam family "Bacterial large subunit ribosomal RNA". The record is from RNAcentral. Lineage: Bacteria; Pseudomonadati; Pseudomonadota; Gammaproteobacteria; Enterobacterales; Enterobacteriaceae.